GCAAGUCGAGCGCGAACGUUCCUUCGGGGCUUAUUAGAGCGGCGGACGGGUGAGUAACGCGUGGGAAUUUGCCCAGUAGUGGGGGACAACCAGUGGAAACGCUGGCUAAUACCGCAUAGGUCCUAUGGGAGAAAGGUGGCCUCUAUUUAUAAGCUAUCGCUAUUGGAGGAGCACGCGUUAGAUUAGCUAGUAGGUGAGGUAAAGGCUCACCUAGGCGACGAUCUAUAGCUGGUCUGAGAGGAUGAUC
This 247-nucleotide ribosomal RNA is filed under the name uncultured bacterium. RNAcentral's name for it is "partial 16S ribosomal RNA". It matches the Rfam family "Bacterial small subunit ribosomal RNA", at positions 57 to 305 of the family's 1533-position model. The record is from RNAcentral.